Equus caballus (horse) is the source of this 2888-nucleotide long non-coding RNA. Lineage: Eukaryota; Metazoa; Chordata; Mammalia; Perissodactyla; Equidae. The record is from Ensembl.
UUUUUUUUUCCAGUGAGGAAGACUGGCCCUGAGCUAACAUCUGUUGCCAAUCUCCCUCUUUUUGUUUGAGGAAGAUUGUCUCUGAACUAACAUCUGUGGUGGUCUUCCUCUAUUUUGUAUGUGGGACACCACUGCUGCAUGGUUUGAUGAGUGGCGCGUAGAGCCGUGCCCGGGAUACAAACCCACGAGCCCCAGGCCACUGAAGCAGAGCACGAGAACUUAACCACUGUGCCGCUAGGCUGGCCCCUGGAGUAACAGCUUUUGUUGAAGCUCAGGUUGGACAUGACAGGGACUUAAUUACUGAAGAAGGUCCAGAACCCUUCAGAUCAACUUACAAGAAGUUCAAUAUGUAAAACAGAUAAAUGUGCUUGUAAUGAGAAAGGAUGAGAGUUAUUCCAACCUGCCAGCACGUCAUACCCCCAUUCCCACCCUCACCUCAGGGAAGGCUCCAGGGAGUACUUUGAAAACCAUUGGAAAAAGUCAUCCCCUCUUAAAUGACAAAAUGCCAUGUCUGUAGUAUGCUGCAUUAAAAUUUCUACCUAUUCCAAUUAUUUUUCUAUUUUUCUGCCAAUCUCAUAUGUGAAUUCAUUUAUGGAGCCUAAAAGCUGUAUAAUAUAACAAAAGAAGAUAUUGAAAUAUCUAAUAAAUAAGUAAAACAGCAACAUGGGGGUGGGGGUGGGCCUGUGAAAUUAGCAUAUUUCUUUAAAAUGAUGUCUAUUGGCAAGAGUUGACUAAAUACCUUCACUAUAAAGAAGAUUAACUUGGUAAAAUGAUAUAUUGGUCAAUAACUUAAUAACAUGUGUCACAAGUGUACAAUGUUGAUAUUCUUUGGUCUACCAAAUCACUUGUAGGAUUUGACCCUAAAGGAAUAACCAGAAAUGUAUGGAAAAUUCUUGCUAUUGUUUAUACUAGUGAUAAUAUUGAAAAUGAUCCAAAUGUUUAGCAGUGUGGGACUAGUUAAAUGAAGCCUGGCACAGCCGUGAGAUAGGAUGCUCUUCAGCCAUUACAGCAAUGUUAUAAAAAGAAAAAUAUCUUAUUGAGUACUUGUGAUGAAUCUGGCACAACACCAAGCACCUUAAUUACAUUUUCUUACUUAAGCCUAACAAUAUCCCUAGAUGAUAGGGAUCAUUAUUCCUGUUUAUAAACGAGAAUACACAGAAGUUAAGUUCAAACAGCUAGUAAAGUAGUGUUGCUGGAAUUCAACCCACAUCUGCUCUUAACCCAUGUUCUUAAUCACUAUUCUAAUGAUAUAGGAAAAUAUUCACUAUUACUGAUAGGUUAUUGUUUUAAUGCAGUUUAACUGACAUUAAAAUAAACAACAAACAAAAACUCCCUCCUAUCUGCAAUCCCUUCUUCCUUUCCAAAGUUAUUUGUGCUUGGUAAUUUUUUCCUCAAAAUGAAUCUACCUUUACACAUUUUUUAUUAUUUUUUUUUAAAGAUUUUAUUUUUCCUUUCUCUCCCCAGAUUCCCUUGGUACACACUUGUGUAUUUUCAGUUGUGGGUCCUUCUGGUUGUGGCAUGUGGGAUGCCACCUCAGCAUGCCUUGAUGAGUGGUGCCACAUCCACUCCCAGGAUUCGAACUGGCGAAACCCUGGGCUGCUGAAGCGGAGCACGCGAACUUAACCACUCCACCCCUGGGCUGGUCCCUACACAUGUUUUUUAUUGGUUUUGGAAAUAUUAAUGCCUGCUGUAUGAAUUCAGACAAUACUGAAGAUUAUGAAGUAGCUGCACCUUUAGUCAUAAAUUAUAUCUCUCUAUAUAUAUGAGUGAUACACUUGUAGGCUCUUUUAUGUUCCCUCAAUUCUCUUUCUCCUUGCUGUAGGGUGAACUUAUAGGCGGAGUUGGGGAUGGAGACAGACGGGAAAGGCAGAUGGAGUGGAGGGAUCCAUGCAGGUCUGAACGGCUGACUUUAAACACAGCAGGGUCCGUUGUGUAUGUGGUGCAGCACGGUGGUUAGAAGCACUGGUUCUGGAGCCCGACGGGCUAGAUUGAGUCCGGGCUUUUGAACUUGGGCAACUUGUUUGUUCUCUUGGUGCCUCAAUUUCUUCAUAAAAUGAAGGUGGUCAUUGUACCUACCUCUUAAGAUUAUGGUAGAGAUUAAAUUAAUGUGUGUAAAGUGCUUAGAAUAGUGCCUGGGACAUAGUAAGUGCUCCACCAUUAGGUAAAUUAUUGUCGUUAUUAGGCACGUGUGCAGAGAUGGGAGAAGAGGAGAAAAAUAACUUGUGAGCGCUUAUCAUGUGCCAUAUACCUACAUCAUCUCUCCACUUGAUCUCUAUGAGUUAGAUAUUUUUAUUAUUCCCUUUUUAUACAGAUAAGGAAAGUAAUGUUCUCAGAGGUGUUAUAUGGAAGGAAUAGAAUGAAUCAUUAGACCCAUUUCCAGGAAUAAGGACAAUACAAAUACUGAAAGCCACCUGGCCAGCAGAUAGCAAAAUGCUGAGGAAUGAGAUGGGAAACAGGCCUGCAGAGUCCUUUUAGGACCAAGGGGCAGUGUUUUAAAUUCAGGAUUGGGUGGGUUCCCAAUCUAGUUUCAGAAAACUCUGCUUUGGAAAUCCAACUGUUUUUAUGCUGGCUAUAUUUUCCAUAAGUACUUCCUGUUUUAUUCUCCCUUAGUAUGCACUAAGAUUAUUUCUGAAUUAUCAGUCUAUCUCAUUUGUGCUUUGAGGGAGCAAGGAGGAAAAAGGGAUCCUUGGCCACCUGCUGCCGGAGCUUUCAGGGAGAAUAUGUCAGUGAGAUACAGGUGCUGGGCUUCAGACGCCAGCAGCCCAGAGGGAACAGAAAUGCAAGGAGUAAAAGCCUCUCCCCCAGAGGCUUCUGGAGUCUUCUCUGACUUGGAAGCUUUUGAACAAUGUUUCCUAGAGGUUGGCCUUUCUCUUACUCAUCUGUCCAGC